GGUUGAGCGGGCAGUGGGAGCUGGGACUUGUGCAGGCUGCAGAAGGAGGCUGAGCUGUUGAGUGCGUGGCUGGGGCCCCCCUUCGCCUCCACACCUUCCCUCUCACCUCUUCCCCUUCCGUGCUAGUGUCCAUCUUUCCACGUGGCCACGGCUGUUUACCUCUGUGUCCACUCCACUUCCCAGGAAGUCUGCCUGUCUUCUCCAGCUUUGUCCCACUGUGCUUGGUGCCAGGAGUUAGCAGGUACGUGGUCAACGAAGGAAAGAACUCAGCUGGCAGAGGGGAGGUCCCCAGGUCUUUGCUGCCCAGUGUCCUGUGUGGUUUUAGGGGGAGAUUUGAGCAGACAGGGCCCAGGCCACUGGACUGCAAUGGAAAGGCAGUCCCUCUUGAUCAGCUCUCUCUCCUGGACAGCCCAGGCAGCAGCCUUCUCUAGGUACCUGCUGGGCACAGUGGGUGAGUCCAGUGACAAACUGGGCAUGGUCCCCUGAAGGUUUGCUAGGUUUCUGCUUCUUACUAGGGGCUGAGGAUGGAAUGAAGGGGGAAGAGAAGAAGCCAGGCAAGGCUGAUUGUUCAUCUCUUGGAGGGCUCUGAGCACCUAGGUGGUGGGCGUGGGUGGGGGUAGUUGGAGAGGACUUUGGGUGGGAGGCAGGAGGGGACAAAGGAGCAUGCCAAGAAAGAGUGUUGGGGGGUGGUAAGAGUUUGAAGCAAGUUUGUCAGAGGAGGCGGGGCACAGGUGACCUCACUGUGUGGGGCAGAGAGCCCAAGCUCGUGAGCCUCAGCGAUGGGGAAGGAAGGGGUGAGAUAAGGCUAAAGGAGUCUAGAAGCUUCUGCUGAGGAGGCUGGUUUAUGUAACAAACCCUGGGAGUCACGAACACAGGAGGAUGAUUCAGUCAACACACGGUGCCCAGGGAGACGAUUCCAUCUUCCCUGGGGAGGUCCCAGGAGAGGAGCUACCAGGGCACGGCUGUCAGGUGUUAUUCUAGAUACUGGCCAAGAAAAUGAGCAGCCAGGACACUGAACCGCAGGAACUGGGCAGGGGAGGCUGUGUGGGGGGUUGUGUGGGAGGCCAGCAGCUCAGGAGCACAGCCUGAUGCCUGGGGGUGCUGGGCUGGGGCAGUAACGAUGAGGCUGGGGUGGGGAAGAGGUGACCAGGAUUUAGGGGACAUUGGGGAUGAACGGGGGUGGCGGGGAAGACACAGGAAAGAGGGAGAGAAAUGCUUUCUAGAUAUGAGAGAAGAGGGUUUUACAGCAGAUCCAUUCUGUCGAGGUCGUUUCCAUGUGAGGCUGUGCAAACCAGAAGUGGAAUCUAACACCAUUCUUACUCAUGGUUGCUGCUCUUUAAUUUUGUUGAUGUCAAGUGAUGAGACAGCACCCCUCCCCCACUCCUGCAGAACUGUCAGCUUUGCUGACAAGUACCCUACACUUCCUCUUUUCUGAUUUCAGAGAAGAGCUUUACUUUUCCUCUAAAAAAAGGGGAACCAGUUCCCUAAGCCAUCAGAACAGUGGCCUCUGAGGUUUGCCAAAGCACUGCCCUGGCUAUCUGGAGGGGCCUCCAGGCCCCCGUCCCCAGGUGCAGCCUGUUGGUGCAGCAAGAACAUUUUUCCUUUGUCUUAUGCAGUCCUAGGCCACUAGUUCUCCACUAUGAUUAAUAAUAGGAAGCUUUAAAUAAUCCUGUUGCUCAGGUAGCAGCAAAGAUCAAUUGAAUAGGAAUUUGAGGGGAGAGUAUAUUUGGAAGUCCCCCAGGAGGUUGCAGGACUGCCAACCUCCAGUGCAAGUAUGGGAUUCUGUAAAUGUUUCUGUUUACAAUGUGAAUUUAGUUCCGGCUUAAAGCUGGGCAGGGGUUCUUGAUACUCUAGUAUUUCAGAUGAGGGAAACGCAGCCUAGGCUUAAGGAAAGGUGAUCAGGGGAAAGGCCAUCACCAGCAUGAACUACUUCUGAGUUAGAAGGUUGUCCACUUCCUCCCUGUCAAAAAAAUGUACCUGGCCCAGGUCCCCAUUCUUAUUCCCCAGGGCCAGUAAGAAUUCCACUGGCUCUUGUUCUUCUUGCUCUAUUGGCUUGGUACAGACCCAGGCUCUUACGUACAAGUUCUAGUUCAGGCUGCUAUGUCAGAAUAGCAUAGACUGGGUGAUUUAGGCAACUGACAUUUGUUUCCCCCAGUCUGGAGGCUGGACGUGGAGAUCAGGGUGCCAGCAUGGUUGGGUUCUGGUGAGGGUGCUCCUCCUGGAUUGCAGCCUGCUGCUUUCUGGCUGUGUCCUUGAAUGGCAGAGAGGGGAGCUCUGGUGUCCUUUCUUCUUCUUACAAGAGCACUAAUCCCAUCAUGGGUUCCAUGCUCAUGGCCUUAUCAGAAGCCAAUUACCUCCCAGAGGUUUAACCUCCUAAUACCAUCACACUGGGGAUUAGGGCUUCAGCAUAUGAAUUUUGAGAAAAACAUUUAGUCCCCAAGAGCCUGGUUACUUUGUUCUACCAAAAGGUUUUCUCAUCCUUUUUAAAAAAAGGGUUAACAUAAUCUAGUGCAUAACUGGAGUUGGAGGGCUGACAGAUGUCCUGGUUGGAAAAUGUCUAAUACGAGGCCUGACUCAUAGCUGGACUCAACACAUCUUAGCCAUUAUUAUUGUUAAAAUGUAUAGUGCUUUUUGUUGUUCAGUUCAAAACUUUGGUAAUUUCCACAGUAACAUCAUUCCUUAGUAAUUCCUUAGUAAUUCUUUUACCUGGAACCCAAGGUCUGUAAUUACUUUUAAUUAUUUUAUGUGAGAAAAAAAUGUAUGUGCACAUGUGUAUUUCCCUCUCACUCUUGAAUGAAUGAUAAUUUUGCAGGGUAUAGAAUUCUACAUUGAUUGUAACUUUUUCUCAGGACUUUAAAAGAUUCUAUAUUUUCUAGUAUCUGAUGAUGUUGCUACUAUCAAAUUUCUAGGUAAUUUGUUUUAUUAUCUCUGGUAAAUUUUUUUUUAAACUUUACACAUCUCAUAGUUUCACUAUAAUGUAUGGACACUUAGAUACAACAUAGUGAAAAUACAAAUUCUUAUGUAUCCAUAGCUAGAGUUCUUAAUGAAUUCUAAUUGCAACAUUAGAAAAAUUCAGAUAUUACCUUCUUGAACAUUUCUUCACUCUUAUUCUUUCUCUUCUAUUUUUCUGGAAUUCUUAUUAGCUGUAUAUUGGCUCCUGUCAGUCUAUCUUAUAUUCUAUAGCUGCCAUUUCAUAUUAAAAAAUACAUUUUUUCUCUUUAUUUUGCAUUUUGGGUGAUUUCUUCAGUACUGACUUCUAAUUUUUUUCUGCCUUCUAAUUAAUGUUUCUGUAUUCUAUAAUGACUUUAUAGAGUUUAAUUGAGUUUGUGCAUCUAAAUGUCAAUAUUUUUUCAUCUCAUUUUUUUUUCAUAAUAUAGUUUUAUUUUUCUAUUUGAUGUUUCAUAAUUUGUGUUUUUAUAAAUGAUUGUAAGUCAUUCCUUUAUAUCUUUGAGAAUCCUAAGCAUUUCUUUAUAAUACUUGUUCACUACUUGGCAUAUUAUGAUUUUUAAAAAAACUUUAUUUUUGAGACAGGGUCUCGCUGAGUUGUUGAGGCUGGCUUUGAACUUGAAAUCCUCCUGCCUCAGCCUCCCGAGUCACUGGGAUUACAGACGUGUGCCACCAUGCUGGGCUUAUGUUAUAAAAUGUACAAAAAGGGUUCUUCCACUAGCAAGUAGGUGUCAUGAGGGCAAUAACUUUGAUUUGUUUAUUAUUGUUUCCUUAGCAACUAAAACAGUGUCUAGGACAUUGCAGGUGCUUAACAUACUUAUCUAUCUAAUCACCCGACUAUAUGUUCACUCCAUAAGAAGUGAAUUCAGUUCCUAUCAUUGCAUUCUCAAUUUUGGCUACCUUCUUGGUCUUGCUUUUGGGAAAGUUACUACUAAUUUUAUUCUCCCUGUGCUCAUCCCCUCCCGGGCUUGUGGUUUUAUAGGAGCUUCUUCUUGGUCCGCAGAGACCCCAGUUCUGAACCAGAUUGUCUAUGGUCAGCGCAGGCAUCCACGCUCUUUGAGGAUGUGGCAGAGUCUUUCAGUGGGCCACAUUCUUCCUCAAUUGGGACAAGAUAUGUACAAGCCUCAGCCCUCAUCUUUUCAAUGUCUGGUCCUUAAGUGUGGGAGCCCAGCAGUCUCUGGCUCGGAGACCCUUCUCAUGUGGUAGUCCCCUCUUACCUAGGAGAAAGUUUCUGCCGCCUCUGCCUGCCCUCUGACCAGGAGGCCAGGACCCAGCCUCAUUUCUGCCUAUAGUGUUAGUUCUGUGUUUCCCUGACCCUUGAUCUUUUUGUGCAAGGCUUUGAUGGUAAAAUUUUUGAUUUUUGUGUUUUAGCUAUUAUUGUUAAAUGUUUGGAAAGGGGAGGACCCUUGCAGCACGAGCUUAGAGUACCAUUGUGCCUGGAAGGCCUAUGACUAGAACUCAUUUGGCAGCUCCAUCACCAGGCCCCAGGGGUUUAGUCUGGAAAGUACAGAAUGCCGACAGAGGGGGCCGUGUUAAAGCUCACCUUGAUCCUCCUCCUCACUCAGGAGAGGAGGGAGCUCAGGCCCAGUGACUUGCUUGGGGCAAUGCAUUUCCUUAGUAGCAGAGCCAGGAAGGCAAACCUUGUUCUGCAGCCUGGCUCUUUGAACACCUGCCCUUGGACAUAUGAGUUCUUUCACAGCAUGGCCUUCCUGCCUUGCUGCUCUGAGCCACACAGUUUAAGGGCUUAGCUCUGGCUCUAUCCAGUCCUCUGGGGUCUUUCUCUUCCCCAGGCAUAUGGCACAUAAGAUGGGGGUGGGGUGGGGGGGUGGAGGGGAAGAAUGGGCUUUAAUAAUUACUUAGUGUUUACCCUGCAGUGGCUCUGCCUAGGGGAGGGGUCUUCUGUCAAUGGCUGUGUGAGUGCUAACAUUUUAUAUACACCACUGCCCUCUAGUGUCCAUAAUGAGCAUCAGCAUAUAGCCUGAAACCCUGAGACCCUUUUCCCUGCAUGAAGACAUACAUUUGAGUCCUAUUUAUUUGGUAUUGCAAUGCCAAAUAUAUAAAACAUAUAUAUUAUCAGAAGCUGUAAUUUACCUCUGUAAAGAUGUACAUAGAUCCCUAGGAGCCACAUAAACAAGGAAAAUACAUGUUCAACCCAUUUUAAUGAUAUCUUUUAUUUAAUCCAACAUAUCAAAAAUAUUAUAAUUUCAACAUAUCACCAAUAUAAAAUUAUUAAUGAGUCAUUAUGCAUUCUUAUUUUGGAACUCUGCUGUGAAUUUUAUGGAUGUCUCAGUUUGGUCUAGCCGCAUUGCAAGUGGGUCUAGUGCCUGCUACAUUAGACGACAAAGGCAACAUAUAGUGGUUUCUAAAAUCUGACUGUGUUUCUGCACUGAUGUAUGUAGGUCUAUGCGGAAAAUUUUCACCAAUAUGUAGCAAGAUAAGAGAAAUAUGAAGUAGGUUUUAAAUAUGUAAAGUAUUCUCAGCUAUUUUUGAGGCUGAGGCAGGAGGAUUGCAAGUUUGAGACCAGCCUGGCAACUUAGUGAGACCCUGUCUUAAAAUAAUAGAAUAGAAUAGAAUAGAAUAAAAUGGGGUGGGUAUGUAGUUAAGUGGUAGAGUGCUGCAUAGCAUGCAUUUUUUCUUACAAAAAAAUUAAUGUAAGAUUGAUUAUCUACUGUCUUUUUAAAGGGAAUGCUUAGAGAUUGUCCUUCUGACUUUGUUAGUGUUAAUAUAUUCGUUUUUUUUAUGAAGCAAUGGCCUUGGAAGAUGAUUAUUUAUUUAUUUUUUGCAAAACUGAGGAUUGAACCAGGGCUUGCUCAGGCUGGGAGGAUACUCUACCACUGAGCUGCCCCCGCAGCCCCAGAUGAUAUUGAUUAGUCAGGUGUUCUUAUUUUGGAAGUAGCACGUUUGCAAUCCUCUUCAGGGCUCCACACUUUUUGGACAUCUCUGUUAGGUGAUGUACUAAAUCCUGGGAACCACCAUGCUGGGUGGCUUGUUUUUCCCUGCUUGGACAACGAGUGGGACACAAGUCUGCAUGGUGGUGUUACUGGGCAAUUCUCAGCAUGUCAACUGUGCGCCACUCCUUCUGUCCGAGUAACUGCAAGAGGCUGAGUGGGAUGUGAAUGUGGGGGUAAACUUGAAUUUACUCUUAAAACAGUCACUAAGAGUAAGUUAUUUGCAAAAUCCAGUUCUACAGAUGACUUCACCAUAGGCGAGGAAUCCUUCACUCUCUAUUCCUGAAUAGGGAGGAACAAAACGCUAUUGAGCUGAGCACAGAGACUUUGUUGCCCUUUAAAUGCAGAGCACUGGAGGCUGAAAGAGAAAGCCACUCAUUUAUGGGAAAGGUCUUGAAUAACCUCCAGGCUUUGUAACAGGCAGGUCUCUGAAGUGGAGCUGGGUAGUUCCUUUCCCUGCCUGCAGCUGGGGUACAAAGGGAAGGAACCUGUAUUUUGGAAGCAGGAGUUUCCCCUCUGCACUCAGUAAGUGGCUGCGAAUUGCAGUCUGAUCUCAGGUCCCCUCAUCUCUAAUUGGUGUCCCCGUUGGUUCAUCAUGUGUCCCCUCAGGUCAUAGACUUGUCUCAGGCUUUGGACCUGAACUUCAAGGUGUCCUUAAAAGAUGCCUGCUGGCCACCUUGUUUAUAAAUGUAAGCCUUUAGCUGUGCUUAGCGCAGUCACUAGGGUACUAAUUAGCCAGUGUGUUUCUUUUUCAAAUACUGUGUAACAUUUAUGCUGGAGUCAUAAGUUGGAAAAGAUGCUAGCAGAUGGAAACUGUGUAAAUCAAAUAAUUUUGAUUGCUUUGGGAACUCACAAAUUGAAACAAUCCUAUGGUGAAUUCUUUUGUAGUUGGAAGGAGUGAUGGGCCCUCUAUUUGUUUUAAAAAUUCAAGUUUUAAUAUAUUAUCUGUCCUGAGGGGGAUAAAUCCACAUAUUAGUAAUAAAAAACAUGCAAAGGAAAGGUCCCAUCUUCCAUCAGGGCCCCCACCUGGCCCCGCCCAGGAUUUAAGGAGUGGUGUGUAAUCACCAUUAACCACUCACAAGCAAUUACACUAAGUGUUAAUGAAGGGACCCUAGUCACAAAACUGUGCCCAAGGGAAGCUUCCAUUUGAAAGUCAAGGUUAAUGGCCCAGCAGUUGUUUUAAUGGAUUUUCAAUGGAGUGUGAAGAUGACAGGCCAACAAGGGCAGGGCACAGCUAGCUUGCGGCCAUUAGUACCCUGGUCUUGCUUCUGUUUUUACUCCUUUAUGAUCCUGCUGAACAAGAUUCCCUGAAUAUUUACUGAUUACGUUGUGUUUAACAUAACUGAUAAAACCCGAGUUGGCUUGAGUGAGGUGCCAGCAUCUCUUUGCUUUCUCGGCAGAGGUGUGGACACAGCUUCCUUAGGUGGGGGAGUUCAUGGAGAGGCAGGGUGGUGAGUGACUGACCCGUUUCUGACUCCAGCACCACUCUUCAGGAUCUCAGGCUCUCUGGUCCUGCAUCUCCUAACACCUGGAGACCUCACCCUUAGGUACCCAGCCCCCAGAGCCCUGACCUGCUGCUUUCUAGUCCUCUGGAGUUAUUGGGUCCCCACCCUGAGAGGAGUGAAGGGUUUGAAUCCUGCUCCAACUCUCUUGGCAAGUCCUUGGCCUUCCUGUUCCUCAGUUUCCUCAUCUGCAAGACCGGUGCCCAGAGCCUGUGGGCAAGCAAUGCAUGUUGUGUGGUUUCCAUGCAGGGACUCUGUCUGCUUCCCUCCUCUUGACUCCAUGUCUUUGGGCUCAAGGACUUUGAUUCCCACUCUAGCACUGCUCUUGAUUUUUCUUUCCCUAGCCAAGUCCCUUCUCUCAGAAAGGCUAUAUAAACUUGAGUCUUGCUUAAAAAAUGGUCUCCUAACUUAGAAAUUUUGUAGACUGUGGGCGGCCAAAUCAAAUGAGCUGGUUAUCAACUUAUUUUUUGUAAAUAAGUUUUAUGGGAACAAAUUAUGCUCAUUUAUUUAUGUGUUGGCCAUGGUUGGUUUUGUGUUACAAUAGCAGAAUUGGGUAGUUGCGACAAAGUAAGGUCCAUGAGCCUCAAAUAUUUACAGAAAAACUUGGCCCUUCGCAGAAAAAAGCUUGUUAAUCUCUUGCCAUUCUGGGUUGAAUUGUGUGUCCACAAAGAUUGGUCGAAGUCCUGACCCCUGUAUCUCAGAAUGUGAUCUUAUUUGGAAAUAGGAUCUCACAGAGAUAAUCAUUUAAAACAAAGUCCUGGAGUGGGCCCUAAGCCAGUGUGACUGGUGUCUGUGGCAGAGGAGGUCCAAGGAGCCAAGCGGCAACCAGUUACCAGUUCUUAAGAUCCUGCUGGAGAAUAUCAAGCGAGUCUCCAAGAAUAACAGACAGGAAUUUAUUAGGAAGAGUGAGAAGUGAGGAUCACGCAGCAUAUAGGAGCUGCACAGGUGCCUCUGGAGAGGAUGGUGUGGCUCUUCCAGAGUUGGGGUCUUUGAGGAUUUGGGGGUCCCUUGGUUCUUGUUCUAGUGUCUCACAUCCCUCAAGUAGCUUAUUAUCCCUUUAUCAGCUCUUACCAAAUUUUCUUUGUGAGGGUCAUGAUGACCUGGUCACAAAGGGUGGGUGAGAAAAGGUUUCAGUGAUGACCUGAUUCAAGGGGAGGGUCAUGAUAACCUGGCCACAGGGGUGGUGUGACAUCAUCUUAAAGCUGUAGUUCCCUAAGGGGUUAUACUUAACUAUGGCUGGGGGAGAUUUGGCUUCUAGUUCCCAUUUUCCACCUGCUCGCCUGUUUUGAUAAAAUUUCCUCUGACCUAUGGACUCUCUCCAGUGCAUUUGUCUCCAGUGCUCCAAGUUACCACCCUUCAAUGACCUUCCCUCUGGCCACCUGCUCAUGGUUAAAGCUAACCACCUAACUGUAUCCUUAUAAACAGGGAGCACAGAGACACACAUGCAGAGGAAAGAUAGAGCCUGGGCUCUAUUCCAAUGUGCACCACAGUCAUGCAAGUUGGCACCUUCUCGUGCUAGGGACCAUCCGAUGCUGUGCAUUUCCCUGACCUGCAGCAUCAUCUGCCCAUCCAACCUGAGGCUUUGGAUCUAUGAUCCGUCUUCCUCCUCCUCCAGUGGUUAUAGAUUCUUCCACAUCGUGGACAUCUUGUCCAGUUGUGCCAGAAUUGUGGAAUCACUGUAGGGGAAUCAGAAAGGCCCAUUUGUCUCCAUGGCCUGGAUGUGCUUCCUUUGGGAGCAGAGAGCUGGUGAGGAGCCCUGCUGGACCCCUGCCCAUCUGCAGGCAUUGGAUAGAGUGCCAUCUGGGUUUGGCUCAAGGACACUCAGGGUCUGGGUACUGGGGAGGCAGUGGAAGUGAUAAGAAAAUACAAGGGAGGAAAAGAAAGCAGGCGGAGGGGGCGUUACGGUUGAAUGUUCCCAACCAAAACUCACGCUGGCAUUUUGCUGUGGCAGAGAGGGUGAAAGAAGAGGCUUGGAGGAAAUUAGAUGACAAACUCUGCCUCUUAUUUAUUUGCUUGAAGAUUAAACUGUCCACAGCUAUUAAUUGUUGAGCUCUUCCCUGGGCAGAUCUGGGACACAGUGAUCAAAACUGUCCCCUUCAAACAAAGGCGGUGCGGAAAUGGUCACUGUGGUGUCAUUUCUGGCAGAAAAGGGUGCAAACAAUCCAAAUAUUCAGCAGUGGUUGAAUAGACAAAAAGGGGGGUGUCCACACCGUGAAUAUUCUUCAGCCAUAAGCGAAACUUGUACUGACACAUACCGCGGCAUGGACGAACUUAACAUCACGCUGAGUGGGAGAAGGCAGACGUAAGAGGCCACAUGUUGUACGAGUCCUGUUAUAUAAAAUACCCAGAAUAGGCAAAUCCGUAAAGACAGAAAGCAGAUCCACGGUUGCAUGGGCCAGGAGAGGGGGGAACCGCGUUACUGCUCGGCGGGUUUGGGUUUCCUUUUGCGGUGGUGAGAAUGUUCUGGAGCUAGAGUGGGGAUAUCACACAGCACUGUGAACGUAGCCAAGGCCACUGAAUCAUACAUUUUAAGAUGGGACAUUUUGUAUUAUUCUGCCAUGAUUAUAAUUCAACAAAUCAUGGGAUUGCAAUGGAGCAAAUUCUGCGUAUUUAUGAAUAUGUCAGAAUGCAUCUAACUAUAAUGUGUAGCUAUAAUACACGAAUGAAAUCAUUAAAAAAUCAAAAACCCAGAGUCCUUGGUCCCUGUGUUUAGGUGAGAAGAGAUACAUAAUCAUCAAAGAAACAAAUUUAACCCAAGUGCCGUGAAGACGUGGAAGAUAGGCUAGGGGAUCAGGGAGGGAUAGGCGGGUGCUGUUUUAUGAGCGGCCAAGGUUGUGUUUCUGGGUGGGAUGUGGGGAGAGAGGCAGCACAUGGCCAGGAAGAGACCCUUGUGGGCUGAGGAUGCAGAAUGGGCAAAGGCUCUGAGGCAGGAGUACGAGGAGCAUUGGGAAUGGUGAGGCUCCGGGGUUGGACCUGCGGUUGGCUUUGCCUGUCAAGAAAUACUAAUUAGAGGUGUACCAUGGGUUGCUUCUGUCCUGGGUGGUGGUACAGCUGAGCAGGAUCCUGCAGAUCUGGGACUCAGUGGGGCUUCUGUCGGGCCUCUUGAGCGAGGUGCCUAGGUGGUCCUUACUGAUCAGCAUGCUGGAUUUCAGGUGGGUGAGUCCCCUGUUCUCCCCACUGCCUGGGGCCUCCUGUCUGACUUGGUCCAUUUCCUGCUUCUCUAACUGAACUGAAUAAUUUAUAAUGAUGAAGGUUUGUUUAUUGGGUUCAGGGUUCUGAAGGCUGGAACAUCCAGGAUUGGGCCAUGGCAUCUGGCGAAGUCCUUAUCCCUAGAGGGACCCUCUGCAGGGUCCCAAGGUGGCACAGGACACUGCAUGGCUACCCUGAAUGUCCAAGCUUAGGUCUCAUCUCCUCUUCUUGUAAAGCCAUGGUCCCACAGGAUGAGGCCCCAACCUCAUAUCCUCAUUCAACCUGAAUCACCUCCCAGUGAUCCACCCCCAAUACCAGAGUCAGACUUGAGUUUCAACUCCUGUUCUGUGCCACAAAGGGCUGAAUGCCAGCGUGAGUUUUGGUUGGGAACAUUCAACCGUAACGCCCCCUCCGCCUGCUUUCUUUUCCUCCCUUGUAUUUUCUUAUCACUGUUCAACACAUUGUAGACCUGUUUGCUGUGGUGAGUUUUAUGUGUCGACUUGGCUAGGCUAUAAGACCCCAGUUACUCAACCAGACGUCAACCUAAGUUGCUGUGAGGUAUUUGUGUGGAUGUGGUAAACCUCUUCAAAUCAGUUGACUUUAAGGGAGAUAGCCCUCCAUGGCUUAGUGGGCCUCAUCUACUCAGUUGAAAGGCUUUAGAAGAAGCAAAACUGAAGAACUUCUGCCCCAAGACUCCUGCAUGAGUUUGCAGCCUGCCAGCCUGCUCCAUGGAUAUCAGACUUGCUGGUGCCCACAACUGUGUGAGCAAUUCCUUGAAAUAAGUCUCUUUAUGCCGAUGUAUAAUACACACACACACACACACACAUUUGUAUCUAUACAUCACAUCCAGUCUGUCCCCUUCCCACUGGUCUUGUUGUCUGGAGAAGGCUGAUUGAUCUGUGUAUCAAUCUGUUGAUGGACUUCUCACCCUUCCUCCCCCAGAUGCCAUCUCCUCCAAGGCCGCCCAGUUAGGGUCUUUGUUUCCUUCCCAGACGUGUCUGUGCUGUGUAGGAAAGUGUCCGGCAAUAGUUGGGUGUGCACUGUCCAACAGCCAGUUCUCCAGAGUUCUCGUUUGUUUAUGUGCUUGGUGGCUCAAUCUGGAAUUCAAGAGAAGGGACAAAAUGAGAAAAAGAGAAGGAGAAAAAGCCCAAUGCGGUAGUCUCCUCUGAGGCUGGGAAUGUCCCCCUGGGCCCAGUGUUGUGCAUCUCGCCAUUGCCAUCGUCCUUGAUGUGUCUGCAGCUGAGAAAAAGUGAUGACCGCAAAGAAGGUUGCAGAUUUAAACCCGAGUUCAUGUUCUCCUAGCAACGGGAGCACCCCGGCUGGGCAGAGGGAGCUGAGCACCACUGCUGCUGGGGCAAUUCCUGUUGCUAGGAGAACAGUGGCUGGGGGCUUCUGGCAGGUGACUGGUGGAUGUGACCUUUUGUUCUCCAGCAAGUUGAGGGGAGGAGGAGACAGGUGAGGGGCAGAGAGGGGAGAGGGCAGAAGUGCUGAUUCUCUCUCUCUCUCCUCUCCUCUCUCCUCUCUCUCUCUCUCUCUCUCUCUCUCUCUCUCUCUCUCUCUCUGUGUGUGUUUAGGAAUUCGUGGUUAGUGAAACGCCUCUUGCUUCAGAAUAUGUCCCAAAUGGGUUUGCAAUUAGGGACAGAGUCUGUAGGAGCUUACAAAACGACCAAUUUCCUAUACUGUUUGGCUCCCAGCACCCACAGACCAUCUGGAUCAGCUGAGGAUGAAAUGCCGGGGAGUGGGUGGGGGUGGGGGAGUGGGUGGGGGUAGGGGUAGGGGAGUGGGAGUGGGUCCCAGGAGUGAGAAAGAGCAAGCUGGCACUCCUUGGGUGGGGAGUGAUUUGGCUUUCCAGAUUUUUCUUGACAAUUCUAUUGAGACCGUCCUGACCUUGCUUCUUCUUCCCACGGUCACGGCCAAGGCACAGCUGAAAACCAAACCAGAUAGUCCAAGGCAGCCAGAAGAGCACCUGCUCUCCCGGGCAGCCUGACUCUUACUUUGCCUGCUGGCCUGGAGGGGUGGACCGUGUGGGAUGGUUGAGGGCUGAGAAUGGGGAGGGCAGGUUCUCCUAGCAAUCUGCCCUUCAUGGGUGCUGUUUCCUACUCUCAGCCCCCCUCUGUGUUACUGCAGCCAUCUUGCCACAGGAAACUCCCUCAGAGGCCGAGCUGUGGGAGGAGGCCAGUCUGAGGGACAUUAUCCACUAUGGGGUUAGAGGAAAACACAUAAAGUAUUGCUUUGUGCUGAUUUUCUGAGAGAAUGACCAGAAGAACAUGAAUUCAGUUUUCUCCCAGGGAAACCUCUGGGCAGCUGUGUUCAUCAAAUGGGUUUUAUUUCCCUUUCAAUCACAUGGAAAGAAUAUCAACUGAAUUUCCGUCACAGCAGAUGGGGCCGUGGGACUAAGCUAUCAGCCAUUGGAAGAUAGGCUAAUGGUGCACCAGUUGCUGACUGGGUCCCAAGGACCUAGCAUGGGACCCCAAGACCCUGCAGAUGGUGCGGUCAGCAGGCUGCAGCCUGGGUCCCUAAUGACUGCAUGGCACAGACACCUCCACCCUCCAUUCCUGUAAUGGUCAAUAUGAAUUGUCAACUUGAUUGGAUUAAGAGAUGUUGAGGAUUAUGGGUGUGUCAGUGAGGCGUGUCUAGGAAUGAUUGACAUGUGGGAUAGCCAACUGAAGUGGAGAUCCUCCUUAAGCAUGGGCAGCACUGUUCAAUAGGAUGACAGCUUGAAUGGAAUAAAAGUUGGAAGAAUAAGGAAGCAGCAGGAGAUGCAAACUUGAUUCUUCUUGAACAUCUUCUUGUUUGUUGAUCAUCUGAGGAUAUCAGACUCUUUCUUCUUCACUCUUCCAAAGCGGACUUUGACAGUGACUCUCCAGCUGCCUUCAGUGUCCUAUGAGGGUAGCACCACUGAUCCCUCUUGUUCUGGGGCUUCAGCCUCUUGGACUGUGCAGCUACGAGUUCUUCCAGCUCUGCAGCCUGCAGAUGGCCACUGUGGACUAUCCAGCUUCUGGUUGUGUAAACCAACCUAAUAAGUCCCCUUUUAUAAUUAUACUUUUUGUUGAUUCUGUUCUUCUGGAGAACCUUGACUAAUACAGUUCCUAUGGGACUGUGAGAGAAGAACCAGCCUUUGUGUGCUGAGCCCCUGAGCUUAGGGCCUGCUUAUGAUAGUCAGGUUGUUCUGAUCAAGUAACAGAGCAUGCGGGAAGGUAUGUGACAGGAUCACUUUUGUGGGUAGAGGGAGAAGUGGUGAGAUUUGGCAGGGGUGUUUCCACCAGGAGCCUCCUGGUGACAGAAGGAGUGAGAUGGAAUAUGCUACCCUAAACUGAGGAAAGGAAACUAGUGUGACAGUGAGUGAGUGAGUGUGUGUGUGUGUGUGUGUGUAAAUCAGAGCAGACACCUCUGGUGGGGCCCCUUCUGAACUGCAAUUAAAGAGAAUAACAAAACUCAAUUUCUACUGCACACUUUGCUAAGUGCUUUCUCAUAUAAACCUCAUGACAUUCCAAUGAGAGGAAAUAUUAAUCCCAUCCCAUUCUUUAGGCGAGGAAACUGAGGUUGACAGAGAUGAAGGACUGUCCCCAGUGUCUCCAGAAAGUAAGCGGCAGAGGCAGGAUGCAGUUGAGGUACCCUGGCUCUUGGCCUGCCUCUUGACCACUGGGUCCACCCUCCUGGAAUGUGCAUGGAUACCCGGUUAGCGAAGACAGAGCCUUCCACUGUUAUCUUUGGUUGUCUAAAACAACCAGUCCUUUGGAUGACUCAGUGUUCCAGGUUGUUAGAGAAGCCACGCCAUUGGACCGUCCCUGCAAUGGCACCAGUGCUCCUGGAAAUCUCCCAGAGGGAACGGGAGUGUUUGGAGGUGGGGGGUGAGUUCAGAAGGGGGAACCUGCAGCAUUCACUGCAGGAUUAGAGGAAGGGUCUGGGAUAGACUCUGUAGCUAGACGUGUGUCCUCUGAGCCCAGCACCUCCCUGGGGGUGUCUGGCCUUGGCCAUCAGAGGGGCCUCUUGGUGGGGAGAGAAGGGGCUUUCUGGAUGGCGUCCUGGGAAGGGUGUUGGGAAUCACAUCCUGGAUGUCCUUACGUCUUACACAGGAGGGGCCAAAGUUUGUUGAGUCCACAUCCUACUUACAGGGGCCUACUGUGCACCAGGUCAUGUCUAGAUGCUGGGGAGGCAACAGAGAGAAAAUGGCUGGGUGUCUGCCCUCAGGGAGCCCUCAGGCUCCAUUCUAAAUGAUGGGUGGUCUGCCAGAGGAUGAGCUGGAGGCCCUAGGAACUGCAGGGUUGGGACAAAGUGGGAGAGGGCUCAGAUGAGGGAGCCCAGAAGCCCCUAAAAUCAAGCCAUACACUUUGGGGAGCCUCCAUGACUUGUGUUUCCAGACACCAAGAAGCUUUUGUAGCAGUAAUUUGCCAGAACUCCCAAGAGCAUCUGAGGCCGGGUGUGGGAGAGACAAGCAAUCCCACCUGCUGCCUUCCUCUGAGAGCCAGAGAGGAGCUCUCGAGUGUAGAGAAUUCUUUUUGGGGCCGGCGGGAAUUCUGCUGAGAACAGGCUCCUUCCAUUUUCAAAGUCACUUUGGGAUCUAUGUUUGAUCUUCUCAGUGCUGCAGGCAUUUGGAUGGAGCUAAAGCCUUCUGUUGAAUUAGGGAAAAAAGCAAAAAAAAAAAAAUCAAACGCGUUGGUGGGUCUGGUGCCUGGAGAUACGAUUUGCCCUCUGGGACACUGCGUGGAGGUGGCGUCCCCACUCCCCUUGGGCUCUAGUGCUGCCUUGAAUAGGAACAUUUCAUAAUGUGAGCGCUUGCUGCUCAACUGAUGCUUCCCGUGGGGUGCAGGCCGACGCCAUGUCCUUGGCCCUUAAGCAGAUGUGUUCCAAGCAGGAGCAGCCUCUCAGCACCAAGGAUCUGUCCUCUGUUCACCUAAGCAGGUCUGGAAGUGGGAGGCCACACCAGGGAGCGUUCUGAUUCUCUUCCUGUUCCCCGUAGGCAACGGGACCCCACAUACUGUUCUGGGUUCAAUGCAAAUCACGUUAACUUAUAGCCAAGUGGCCAGAGUUCCAGAAAUCUCCCUUUCAUGGUUGUCUCUCUUGAGUGCCAACCCUCUCCUCCCACUGCCCCCUGGAUGCCCUGCUACACUUCAAAAUCAUUAUGUCCUCUGUUCACUCCAUUAUUGCUUAUUUAGAGUCUUCCACGUGUGUGGCCUUGCUAGGGGCCGGAGAUAAAGACUUAGGAAGAGAUGGCCUUUGCUGUGCCGACAGUUUCUGUCAACUGGUCACAUCCUUCCCUCUAGCCAAGCAUUCCUUGGGCAGCAGGCUGCAUUGGCUCCACAGAACUCUCAGCAUCUGGGAGCUAGAAGACAGUGGGUUCUCCAUAAACACUGCUGCAUCCACGACGGAUAAAUGGACACUGUUCUUCAGAAGACUGCAGGGUGAUGGGAAACGAGAAGAGAAGCGGUGACUGCAGGUCACCAGCACAAGGGUCAGGGUGGAGGCAGGCGGAGGGCCUGUUAAGGAAGGAGGACAGUCAUCUGACUUGAGGGCAGGCUCAGGGUCACUUCCAGACACAGCUGUGAGCCAAAGAAUAAUCCAGAGUCGGCCUGGUGAACAGGGUAGGGGACUGGGGAAGGACAUUCCAGGCUUUGACACAGGUAGCAUGGGGGGAAGUAGCUGAUUGACAGGACAUCCUGGGAGCAGGGACAGGAGUGAGCUGGGGCCCAGGGCAGCUGGCCAUGCUUCCUUCCCUGAUCCUGGGGAGGGCGCCAUUCUCCUGGAGACCUUUCUCUGAGCUUCCACCCUCCACCCCAGCACACCUUCUCUGGGGUCUGGUCCUGGGGUUUGAGCUCCCCUCCCACCUUCCAUUUUAUUUGCCUGGUUGCCGUCCUGCCUCCCAGCCACUCCUCUGGCCCCUGUCAUGUUUGGCGCCCACCCAUCCUGCAUCUUCUUCCUGGAGCUCACACUCUGCUGCUGACGGCAGCCCUCCCUCGCUCCAUGGGGUCUCAGAGGAGAUGUCUGUCCAGGCUCACCCAGAGGCUCCAGCAUGCCUUGGAAGACCCUCACAGAGGAGGAAGAUUUGGAAGAAAAUCCCGAGAAGCAGAAUAGAUUGGACAAAACUACUGUGAAGCAGAGAUGCCUGGGGCCUGUCCUAUCUUGAGGUUCUAGGUCUUGGUCUCUGAGAUGGGAUGAGAUUUGGCCUCAUGAUCCUCGGCUGCGCUUCCUGUCCUGGGGAUCAGAAUGGGGCUGGUGGAGAGAUUCAUUCUUUCACCAGGAUCACUGCUGUACAGUGGGUCGAGUGCCAGUGUUCAUGCAAAUGCUGAAUAGAUAGAUGCCAGUGGCUAACAGGGAUGUCACAGGUCAUUGCAAACUUCCAUAAUUCUGCCUUUGAAGUGGAUCAAUAGGGUCUCUAGGCUUCUACGGCAACCUCCAAAUGUUUUGGGGGAAUCGUAAUGUCUAUUCCACUGGUUUCCUAAAGAGCAAGCUGUCUUCUAAAUUCUAUAUAGUAAAAUCCCUAAGAUCAUUUAAAUUUCCCAUAUGGAGCUUUGUAUUUUUGGAUCUCAGCUGCAUGCUCCUUUCCCCUCCAAAUAAAAACCUCUUGAUGAGGAGAUUUUAAUAGUCAGAACUUGAGGGUCCUACUCUUUAGGUGUAUUGAUAUUUGCCUGUAUUCAUUUAUGUGCUAGUCAGUUUUCUGUCACUGUGACAGAACACCUGAGAUAAUAAACUUAUAGAGGAAAGAUUUAUUUUGGCUCUAGGUUUCGGUCCAUGGCCCCACUCCACUGCUUUGGGUGUGUGAAGAGGCAAAACAUCAUGGUGGGGAGUGUGUGGUGGAACAAAGCUGCUCAGCUCCUGGCGGCUGAGAGGGAACGAGAGAGAAGGAAAGAGAGGCUGAGACUGGGGUCCCAGUAUCUCUGUCAAGGACAUGCCCUGGUGACCUAAUUUCCUUCCAUAAGGCCUCACUUCUAGAUGAUUCCACCGCCUGCAGGUGAGCAACCAUCUUCAAUACCUGACCUUUGGGAAACACUGAAGAACAAACAAUGACAGCCUGGCCAUUAAAAUCAUUGUGGACAAGGAAUUCUGAAUAACGAUUUUUGACCUUCGGAAUGCUUUCAUCAGCAUUAUCCCAUUCCAGUCUCAUCCCCACAGUCCCCCAGAGGAAGCUGCCGUAGGUUUGUAAUUCUAUCAUUUUCUUCCCACAGACUUGCGUGGAGGCACAGACCAACGGGCACACAGGAGCAGGCGGAGCUGGAACUGGAUUCUGGACUCUUCGCCCUGGAUGCUGUUCCCUAAAAACUCAGCCAGGAGGCGCGCUGCAGGGCGACGCGGUGCAGAGAGCUGUCUUGUCUGACUGGGGGUGUACAGGUGUGGCUCUGAGAGGGAGCCCCAGCCCCAAAGCGUCCUUUCCUUGGAGAGGACACCCUGGGGUGUCCUAAACACAUGGACACAGGCCUCUCUGCAUCUCCCAGGUCACUGCUUUCUGUACUGAAUGAAUGACUUCCUGUGACCUAGAGUCUAGCCCCAGUGCUUCUGUUGAGGGCUCCUUCCUUUGCCUGUUCUCCCUUUAGUCCGCCAAGGCUCCCUCCCUGGCCUCCGGCUCUGCCGUCGGCCUCCGCCGCCGGUUCCGCGGGCCGCCACUGGGUGGCGCAGCUGCCCGCGCGUGCUGAGGGGCCGCGGAGCGGUGCAGCCAGCCUCGGCCUCCCAGACCUCCAGCCAGCAGCCCGGCCGCCUUCUGUCGGCCUAGGCUCCGGCUCCUGGGGCUGAGGAGGUCGGGAUGGUGUCGGCAAAGAGCAGGGUCUCCAAGCUCUGCCAGGGCAAUGGCUCUUUCCCCCAGGGAGUCCUCUCUGGGGUGCAGUGAACUGGACAACUGCAGAGAAGAGAAGGGUCUCUGCACAGAGAUGGGGUGUGUGUGGGGGGGUGGGGGCGUCUUCAUCGGAGCACACACUGAGCCCUUCUCUGCGCCAGGCAUUUUACAAACGUUAACUCAUUAAAUUCUCACAUCAACCCUACAGGCCUCAUUUGACAGUGGAGGACACUGGCACAGGUUGUCUGGCUAGUCAGUGGCAGGCCCUGGGUUCUAACCCAGGCAGUCUGACGCCCCCCAGCCUCCGCUCAGGGAGGAGGUUGGGGAGGAGGCAGGCAGACCCGGGCCUGGGGCUGUGCCUGUCGUCAUGACUUUGAUGCCCCUCUGUCCCUUCACUCACUCAGUUUUCCAACUGGCCAGGCUGGGCAUGUGGCCCUUGCUGUAUGCCCUGUGACACCAGCCACGGUCCUUGCCCUGUGGAGCUGGUGGGGGAGACAGAGAUUAACCAAAAAACAAAAACCAACAAAUAACAAAACAACACAAACCAAAGAAAAAAUAAAAAAAUAAAAAAAAAUCACACUUGUGACAACUGCCGAGAUAAGUGUCCUGGAGAAAGGGGUCUUCCUCUCUUUUAUCCGCCUCUUCCUCCUCUUCUGGGUCCUUCUCCAUCCCUCCUGUCCCAGACCCACAUGGCAUAUCUGAACACAGUGCAGCUGUUGAGAAGCCAGCUCAGAUCUAGGGAUGGAUGGCGACUGGACUAGGGGCGCAGCCCUUUGUGACUUAGAAGGCGGGUCACAUUCAUUGUCUUGUUUGGUCUUGUCCAGGGCCAGCUGGUGAGUCUCCUGGGGAGGCACCUAACAGGAGGUGAUGCUUUAAUCCAUGCAGAUUUCUGGGGAAACUGCGAAGGGUCUUUAGUUUCAGACUUGGGUUUGAAUCUAGGCUGUCCUUGGGUCCACCCCGGGCUCUGGGUUCUUUUUGUGCUCCUGGGUAAGUCACCCACCUCUAAGCCUGGCUCUACUCUGGGAGCCUGGAGAGGUCUGACCUCUGACCCUUGCACGGAUCUUUCCAGAGGAGCCGGCAUUGCCAUGGGCCACAGGUCCUCUGAGGGCUCAUUAUCAGAAGAAUCAGCUGAAAUAUGUCCCUUGAGCCACCUGGCACCCCUGCCCAGCCAGCAGGAUGGGGGCUGGGUCACAGCCAUCAGGCGCUCCUUCCGGGAGGUUCCCCUGGCUCCUCCCCUGCUUUCUGGAGCAGGGUGGAGGGAGUGCCAAGGUAAUGACGUGGCCACACCAAACCUAAAGUCAUGCCUAUACAUGGCAAAGGGAGCCCUCUGGCCUGUCCCCAUGCGGCAUGCAUCCAUCAUCAGUCCUGCCAGCCCCAGCUCUGCUGCAGCUGGACGGCCUCCCCAGGAGCUUUCACUGGGAGGAUGGCCCCUCCCCAGAGCUCCUGCUGCCAGUCCCCAGCUCACACCCCUGCACACCCCUGCCCCAUGUCCCCACUUCCCUUCCUGCUUUGUGACUCUGUCUUUCUCCCAGGGUGCAUCCUCAAUGCGAGGCGCCGGGCAGCCUGGUGGGCACGGAGGGAGCUGCAGGAGCUCUGCGCUCACUGUCUGCGCAGUUUACCCCUCUCCCCCCAGUUCCUCCCCGCACCUGCCCACCAGAGGAUGCGAACAGAGGAGGCAAAGCUCUUCUCCCUGUUCUCGGGGUGCGUCUGAGCCUUGAGCCCUACUGAGCCCACCCUCCUUGUCCAUUGCCUGUGUCCUCUCCAUGCCCAUCACCACUGAUUUCCCUCGUCGGUCCCCACCUGGACCAUUGCUGUAAAUUGCUGCCGGGGCUCCUGUCUCUGGCCCUCCCCAUCCUCUCCAACCGAGUGUGUGCUCCACUGUAAAUCUCCUCACAUCCUUUCAUCCCUCCCUUCCUUCAACAAAUGUGCCAGGUAUUGCUCCAGGUACCUGGAACCAGGAGGAGAUGGCCAUGACCAAGACAGACAAGGUUCCAAGUGUCCUUGGGUCACUCUGUCCCACUGUCCCCAGGGGUUUCCAGGACCCUGGGGUGAGGCCUCCACACCUCACUUGGGCCUUUGGAGUGUGUGGGUAGCAGACUAUUUUUGCAGCCCCUGGUUUUCCUGUGAGCUCAGCUCUGGCCUCGCUGAUGGCUCUGAAUCCUCUGUCCAACACGGCAGGGCAGCGCUCUGGUCUGGAGUGUGCUCUUUGCCUUCUGCCUCGGUUUCACGGCCAGCUCUGUGCUUCUGCACUGUUCCUCUCACAUGCCUGGUGUCCCCUAAACCAGAGGGAUUGAGGGACUGAGAAAGUCAGAAGAGGCCCUUUACAGAAUUGAGCUCAGAGUCUCCAAAGUCAACCUUUCCAAGCCACCGACGUCCUGGAGUCACCCCUUCCUGUCCUUUGCCCAAGCUUUAAGCAGGAUUCUGUUGACUCGUUUAGAAAUGAUCUCAGUGCGUCCUACGUAGCAUCUGCUGUUAUUGCUACGGGCAGGUGACCCUGCCCCAUCCAAAACUCCUCACAAGAGACUUUGAACUCCUUGUUUUGGAAAGCUUGGGAUAAAGGUUCAUGAUUUCAAGACAUCUUGUGACACCUCCUGACCUACUAGUUUCAAUGAAGAACACUGCGAAAAAUCCUGUUGAAAAUUAUUAUUACAAGACGGGAACCGAAAAAUAAAAAAGUAGGGGAGGAAGGAAAGGCCCAGAAGCCUCCAUUGGCCAAUCUCAGACACCGGGAGCAUCCCAGCUCCACCCUCAAUAAUGACCUCAGGCUGCUGACUUGUCCUCUUGGGGCCUGAUUUCAACCACGUUAGAGCUGUUCUCUGAACCAAAUGAGGCAGUCCACAUAGACAGGCUUCCUCAGCGCCCAGGUGGUGGAUGCUGAGACACAUCAGGGAGGCAAAGCCAAGCCCUUCAGAGCAGCCUGCCAAGGGGGGCUCAGCUCAUUAUUCACAGCAGGUCCACAGCCAUUCUGAAGCCUAGAAAGCUCUGGAAGUCUGAAGUUUUCUACUUGUUUAAAAGAACCCAAUCUGGUAGCAGCCUGCGACCUGAUGGAUGCUGCCCUGUGUACGUGUGUCCACUUGGGUGGAUGUUGACAGUCUCUGCAAAGCCCUCAGGAUGUUUCAUUAUUAGGGGCAAGGCAGACCCCAGGGGAUCACACAGAAUGUACUAGAGUUUUGCUCUAAAAUGUGAACAUUCUCGGUUCUGAAAUGCUUCUGGCUCCAAGGAUGUGGUAUUUCAGAUUUGUUUUAGAAAUUUCUUUAGAUGAAAAAAACUCUCGAGGUCUGAGAAGGAUUCUCAUGGUCUUUGAGAAAGGAUCCUUGAAUCCUAUAAUGAUACAUUCAUUCACCCAACAUAUAUUUCUUUUUUCUUUAUUUUUAGUAUCUAUUUUUAAAUAUCUUUAUUCAUUUAUGUUUACGUGGUGCUAAGGAUCGAACCCAGUGCCUCACAUGUGCAAGGCAAGCGCCCUACCACUGAGCCACAGCCACAGCCCCCCAACACAUAUUUCUGGUUGUUUGAAAAUAAAAUAAUGCAGACCUACCCUUUUCCAGUCAUCAUGGAGUGCUUCUGAAAUCCUGAAUAGAAUAAGCGCAUAUUGGUCUCUGAUAAGGCCCAGCCUCUGCCUUUGUUUUCUGCUUUUUAAAAGUUAGGUAAAAAGCAAUAGUGCAUACCUAUAAUCACAGAUGCAUGGGAGGCUAAGGCAGGAGGAUCACAAGUUUAAGGCCAGGCCGGGUAAUUUAGCAAGAAACUGUUUUACAAAAGAAAAAAUGGGUUGGGAUGUGACUUGGUCUUGUUAGGGCUCUUGCGAAGCAUGUGUGAGGCCCCAGGUUUCAUCCCCUGUACCAGAAAAUACAAACAAAUAGAAAAACCAAUAGUUGAAAAAUUUUACUAUAAUCAAAAGUCAUUUGACUGGAGUUAACACAAAUGUUCUGGUAGCACCAUGACUGAAUAAAAGGUUCACUAACAAUCAAUCUCAAAAGUGACAUUACUGAAAAAAGUACACAGAAUAAGAAUCCUUCCCCUCCCUGGGAUUCAGUUUCCUCCUACAAAAUCUGGAUAGCAAUUGCACAAUUCAUGGGGUACUUAUGAGGUGCUAGGUAAGUACUAAGUCUUUUAUAUAGUACUUUACAUAACUCACUUAAUUCUCAAAACAACUUGAUACGUUAAAAAUCCCUUCGUUUUCUAGAUGAGGAAAAUGGGGAACAGAGAAGUUAAGUAAUUAGACCCAGGGUACCCAGCUACUCCAUGGUGUAUAUGAGGUUUGAACCUAGGCAGUCUGGCUCCAGAGAGCAUGUCUAAUUAUAGCGGUUCCUCCUCCUCCUGCUUCCUCUUUCUUAGUUGCUGAAAUGCUAAUUGCCAAUCAGCCUAAUGUAUACCUUUAAAUAGCCCCACUAUUUCAUUAGUUUAGCUAACUGGGAGGCCAUGUGUUCAGUUGCUUUUUUUUUUUUAAAUUUUUUUAGCUCUUUGUUUGUCCAUUCAUCUGCCUGUCUGUCCAUCUCUCUACUCAUCCAUCCAUCCACCCACCACCCACCCUCCAUCCAUCCACCCAUCUGUCCGUUUGUUCAUCCUCCCACACAUCCCUCCAUCCACCCACACAUCCUUCCCCCAUCCUUCCGUCCAUCCAUCUAUCCAUUCACCUGACAUUCCAUCCGCCCAUCCAUCUUUCCACAUAAGAUCAAUGCAAUGUAAAUGGUCCCAAGGAGCCACUUGCCAGCUGUUAGCUUCUGGCCUCUGACUAUCAGCUCAUCCCUAGUAUAAAGCAGCAUCCCAAUGUUGUCUUGCAGACUGCUUGAGAGUGUUAAAUGAGCUGUUUGUGUACAGAGCCUUGAGUUCAUGUUAUUCUAUGUAGUUGAACGAGGCAUAAUUACAUUGAAAAAAUUCUACAACUAGUAGGAUUCAAGAUUUCACUCAUGCUUCCACCUUCACAUUUCUCAAUGUCAUUUUGCUUUUCAGUCCCACAGAAGAUAACCCUCCAAAUGUUGAAUGGAUUCUGGAGCUGAGGUCCACCCUGGCCACCCACCCUUGUGACUGAGGGAGCCAUCUGCCUGUCGGGUGGCAGGGAUUCAGCACAGAGGGUGGCCUAGCUUCCUUCCCUUCCGAGUUUGCCUUUGACAAGUCUGGGCUGCCUUUUUCUGGAAGAUGAGGGUAGAAGGCUUGGGAGCAGGCAGACCUUUUCUUCUCCAGGAAGGUGGUGGAGGGGACAGCUCUGGGGGAAGCCGGCUGGACUGGCCAUGGUGGCGGCUGGAAUAGGCAUCAGCUCCUGGGGAGUGUCGGACAGCAGGACUGAGGCAGCAUUUAGAGACUCCUAGUGCCCUGUGCUUCUGAUCCUGGGCACGGGGGUGGGGAUGGGGGGAGGCAGACAGCCUUUUGCCAGAGAGAGCUUGGCACUCGGGUUCCUGCCAUCUGGGUUGUGAGUGCUGUGUGUGUGUGUGUGUGUGUGUGUGUGUGUGUGGUGCAUCUGCAUCUGUGUGUUUCUCUAUGUGUGUCUCUCCGUAUAUCUAUGGGCUCCAUAUAUGUCCAUGUGUGUCCUGGUGUAUGGUGUAUGUGUGUCCCUGUGUUUGCGUCUGUCUGUGUGUCUGUGUGUUCAUAGACAGACUCUCCUGCUCGGUGUCAGCGGUGCUCAGUGCAGGGCUGGGGGACCUUGAUCCACUCUGUCCCGCCCACACCACCUGUCCUGCCUCUUCCACAGGUUCAAUUGCAGACCUAGAGGACAAUUCACACAAGCUGAAUUUUCACACAUUUUUUUGCCUCACAUCUAUGAUACUGGGGAAUAAACCUGCAAAACACAGGCCCUGUCACCGACUUGCCAUCAGCAGGAGAAUAAGGAAGCACCCAAACACAGACUAAGGAGCCAGGUGAGGCCCAGGCCCUCGGCUGCAUGCUCCACCCCAGUGCCCUGGAGGGAGGCUGAGGUUUCUGGUCCACUGCCCCACAGACAGGGGUCAGGAGGAUGCGUGGUGAGCUGCAGUGGGAGGCUACUGCACAGUAGCUGAAAGUUUGGCUGACCUGUCCCCGAGGAUGGGUGUGGGAGAGGGGUCUUCAUGGAGGGAGAUGGCCGGGGUGCCCAUUCAAGACCCUUCCAAGGACUCAGAGGCAGGAGUCCCCAGGUUUGGCAUGGAGACUGUGUUGGAAAGGAUGGACGAUUAACCGAGCCGGCAAGGAGUGACCUGUUGCUCCUGGAGUCCAAGUCACAGAGAGCAUGCCCUGCCCAUAGAGAGGCACGAGGCUGCUGUGGACAGCAAGCCUCCUCCCGCCCACCUUCGACCCUGAAGGUACCACUCUAGAAGGAACUUGCGCUAACUGGACAAACUCUUGCUCACUGCCUUGGCCCCCUGCUCAGCUGGAAGAUGCCAAGAUCCCCCCACUUCACACACACUGAGCACCUCCCACCUGUGACCAGCACUGUUCUGGGUGCAGGAGACGUGGCAGUGCCCAGGGCAGAAUCAAUAACCUGUCAUCAUUGACCCUGUAGUGGGUAUUAGGCAGUCAGUGAGAAGUAAGGCAGAGGAGCAGGAGGAGGACAGAAAUGGGGUGCUGGGGAAAGGCUGCAUGUUUCCAGAAGGGCUGGUCCGUGAGGCCUCACCGAGAAGGUGUCAAUUAAGAUCAGAAGGUGAGGGAAUGAGCCUUGUGGAUGUGUGGACAGAGCAGAAUAGGCAGAGUGAAGGGUAGGUGUAAAAGUCCUGCGGCAGGGAACGCUGGUGAGGCCAGAGCAGAAGGUACAAAAGGGAGUCUGGUAGGAGAUGAUCAGAAAAAGAGGCAGACCAUGAGGGACCCCUAGGCCUUCGCAAAGCCUCCACCGGACAGUUUCUAACAGAGAGUGGCUUAGAGCUGUUACUGGGUCAUUUUUCCUGGGGUGUCGAAGUAGUGUUGGGCCACCAGCCCCAGGGUGUGGAAGCUGGCUCCACAGGAUGGAGCUCAUAAAAUGGAGACAGUCAUGGUUUCUCCUCUUGUGGGUCAAGAGGAAGGCCCAGGAGCAGGAGAAGCUGCCUUCAGGUCGGGUAUGAACCCGGAGAAACGUGGAAGGAAACUUACUGGGCUAUUAACACAGGGCUCCCGGGGAGGGAGGGCUGGGAGGAGACUUCAAGAUAAAACCCUGUGCCAAGAGGAAGCGUGACGAGUGUGGCAGGCACAACACAGUUCCAUGUAUGCAGAUCACACGGGCAGGAGUUUUUGAAGCGACAGAUGUGUGAAAACUGGUCAUUAAAAAUGGGCAGUGUUUAUUUCUGGGGGCCAGAUUUCUGCUGAUUCUUUUUUCCUAAUACAUUUCUGUGCUGUUUAAUUUUUUUUUUUUUUUUACAAUAAACAGGUGUUAUUUAUAUAACCGGGGGGGGGAAAAAUCCAGUAGAGCUAUUUUCACUGUGGCAGAAUAAAAGAGAAACAACGCAAAGAGGAAUUUGUGUUCUGUUCUGUUAAUGCAUUUCCUCUUCUCAGGCCCUCCUGCAGCCUCAGAAGCAGGAUGGAGCUCAUAAAAUGGGGACAGUCAUGGUUUCUCCUCUUGUGGGUCAAGCAGCUACAUUCACGCUGGACACAGCUGCUGUUCCGUGUGUGACACUCGUGGCCGGCCGUUCUUCCAGUUCAGGGAACCAGGUGGCUGCAGAGCACCUCCCCCUCGCCCCUCAGGGACACAAGCUCACCACCAGCCCACGUGCCGCACUCCAAGUUCAUUACCCGUGGCAGGGGGGCAACCUUGCCAGGCGCCUGGUGAAAGUCAAGAAGGGAUGAAAGAAGGAGAGAGGCGACGCCUGCAGGUCCUGGCCUCAGAGCGGGACUUUGCCCACCUCUUGCCCAAACCCCUUUCGAGGAAAAAGUAGUCAGGAGGAGGCUGGUGGCCCCUGGAGCCUGACCCCGCUUCUCUGCAGCAUCACAUCGCAUGAAUAAUUAACCCUCGCGGGCUGAGGAUCUGAUCUUCGCACGCAGAGAUUCCAUGAAAAUUUAAAGACCCGCGCUGCAGCCGGCACUGCGUGUCGUUUUCA
This 26317-nucleotide long non-coding RNA is filed under the name Marmota monax (woodchuck). Lineage: Eukaryota; Metazoa; Chordata; Mammalia; Rodentia; Sciuridae. The record is from RNAcentral.